GGGGGGGAGGACAAAUUACGCAAGGUAUGAUGGGAAGACGGAAGCUACGUAAGGCUCUGCCAUAUAAUGUUUCCAAAAUGGCGUCCAAUUACAGACAUAAGAAUAUUGAAUUACUCAUGAAUUAUUCACGGCGACAAAUAGGCCGUUUCAGGAUGCAAACCUAAAGUUUGCGGUGAAUUGGUUUGCUCAAAGUGCAUUGAGAACAACGAGGAAGUUUUUUGACGAUGUUGGACCGAAGAAACGUUUCAAAAUUUAUAUAAAUAAACAUCGCUCCUUGAAAUUCAAUGACAGCAUAUGCACUCUGGGUGAAACGCUGCACGUAGUGAAACAAUUGUCGAAUCUGCGAUUAGAGACGG
Molecule: non-coding RNA, 356 nt
Organism: Paramuricea clavata
Lineage: Eukaryota; Metazoa; Cnidaria; Anthozoa; Malacalcyonacea; Plexauridae
Source: the annotation of a GenBank genome assembly